AGCAAAAACUUAGCAGCAAAUAUUAAAAAAUGCUGUUAAAAUAACAUUUUAACAACACUUCAUAAAAAAUGCCGUGAGAAGUAAAAAAAAUUGCCGCACGUGUCAUCGCGCCGCUUUUCACUCCCACAAAUAAUUUUUCUUAUUUUCUAUUUUCAUUUUUCUCACCUCUUUCCUAUCCUUACUCUCGCUCUAGGUCAUGAACUUACUCUCGCUCCACUCUCAAUCAACUGAUUGCAUCAGUCCAUGUGAAAAAUCUUCAAUUUGAGAGCUUCUUUUCAAUCCAGAGUUUCGAUUGUAAUUCAGAGAGAAAUCCAAACCAAACUGUUGAGUUCAUUAAUCAGUCUAUCCACUUGCAGAGUCAGACGUCUUCAUCUUUUGUCUCCUUCUGCAAGAACUUAGGGAAAAUCUGGUGCUGUAAUCCUUGUUAACUCACUAAGGCAUGGGGCUACUGCAACUCUAACAUCACAAUCUGAAUGCUGUAAAAAUUCUUUAGCAAUUAAAGCCUUCAUUAUUGGAGAGAGUGCAGCUUGCAUUGAAGCACACGGGUCCUGGUUUACUUUGCAAAGCAAGUGAUCAGUUUUGAAAACUGGUGCAGUUCUGGACUGGUUCCAAAACUAGAAUAUCCCUGCACUUGUGACCAAACAGUGCUGCAUAUGAUUCUGGACUGGAGAAAAUCUGCUGGGCCAAGACAGACAAACUGGUAUGGAUGUUAAAAUCUGGGCUGCUGGAUGUUUCAAAGUGAACUGGGUCAAACUGUGAUGCGGGUCGGGUUUACCGGUUUAAAGAGAAACCAAAUCUUUCCUUUUUCCAAACCAAUUCUGACUUUUUUUUUUUUUUUUUUUGGAAAGUUAAACCAAUUCUGACUUCCCAAAAUCCUGAUAUAUCCAAACCAGACGCUAUAAUCCAAAGAUGACUUUCUAAAAUCGCGAAGAUGACGCUGAAUUAAAUUCGACUUCCCAAUAUCAAACACUGCUGAAAUGGUGACUAACAGCGAUGAUCAGAAAUUCUCUGGUGAGAUUGUUUGGCGGUGGGCUGGCUUACAGCAAGAGAUGUAAUGAUGGUGACGGUGGCGACGAGAAAACUCUGGCAAGAUGAACUGUGAUGGUUUUCACUAGAGUGGGUGAAGAACACGAUGAACAAGGGCUUGGUUUAGGGCAGACGUUUGGAUGAAUUGUGGUGGGGUUUUGGUGGCAGCGGAUAGAGGUAUUUUGGGUGGAUGACAGAAGGCGAUGAACAAAUAGUGGGUGUACUGUGUGUGAACAGUAGGGCUAACAAUGAUUAUUGCUGAACGUUUAUUUUUUAUUUUUUGCUAAAAAGAUGACGAUGGCUGAACUUCGAAUCUUUGCUCUGAUACCAAUUGAUGCAGUAGUGGGUAGGGGCGAUUCGAAACUAGAAUUAAAGUAGAGUAAGAACGAGAUUGAGAGAGAAAGGAUAGAAGAAUAGAGGGAAGAGGAAUCAGAAAAGAAGAAGAAUUCCGAGGGAGAAGAAAUCACGAUAAUAUCAAAUUUCAAUAUCAAUAAUAAUCAUCAAAAGCUGACUUUCCCAUUGUCUGAACCAACAUAUAAAUAGACAGCAAAGAAAACCCUAAUCAACCUAUUACCAUAAAUAAAACCCUAAAUUGCUGAAAUAUCCCAUAAUAAUAAUAAAUAAACAAAAAUCUGUAAUUCUAUCUUUCUUUCCCACGUCUCCAAUAAUAGGCAUGGGCCGUAUGGACUUCAAGCUGGCUUGGGCCGUAUGGACUUCAAGCUCUCAGGCCAGGCCUGGUUCUUCAUCAAUGUGUCCUGCUGGUUUUUAUUUAAUUAUAUGCUAUUAUAGAUCAUGCUUUGAGCACAACUCGAGCGUUUGGAAAUAAACUAGCGAAUUCAGUGUCACAUUGACUGUUAAAUGCUUAGGCAACAUAGGAGAUCAUCUGCACUCAUUUGAAACAUCAUUUAUACUACUCUACAUUUUCAUUUUACUUACUUUUCAUGCUCAAUUAGCAAAACCAUUUCAGGGUCACAUAUCUCUCAGGUCUGAUCUAAUUAGAUAUUUGAUAAUAAUUGGUAUAAUUUAAAACUAACAGUAAUGUUUCUUAUAAGUACGUUUCUUAUAAUAAAAGAGUCACACAAAACUCUAAUAUGAAUGGAUGGGCAGCUCACGGACUCCAGUGAAGUUUAAUUUUCCAAGUUUAAUUUUCCAUGCUUGUCAACUACGGGAGGGAAAUUUCAUUUACUAAUGGGCUUGGGUUGAAAGGAUGGAAGUUGUAUGUUAAAUGUUUUGGCACUCAAACCCUAAGGUUUAAAGUACAUGUUUGGGUAGAGUGGGAAAGGAUGGCACCUUUCUUUGUUUUAUAGAAAUGUACCUUGUGAAUAUCUGCUUAUUUGAAGAACUACACAAUUUUUACAGGACUAUUGGCAGAGCUUCUGUAACGACCCAAAUCCUCAUGGAUCCGGAUCAUUAAAUGGGUCCUUACCCGACCCAAAAUCAUCCAAGGGUAAAACGGUCAUUUCACGUUAAAUUAAAAUGUUGAGUUCCAAAAAGGGCAAGAUGGUAAUUUACCAUAUUUCAAUAAAUUAAGACCCAAAGGACGUCAUAGUCAUUUACGUGCAUCACACAAUAAUUAAAAUGAGGUCCGGGGUAAAAAUAGUCCUUUUGGGGGAAAAAUAUAAUUAUUUCAUUUUGGUGGGUCAUAAAAUAAUUACGUGCAACAUCACUUGGGGCCAAAAUGAAAUUAUAAGAAUUUAAAAUUUGUAAUUACAUAUGUGACGUAAACCGGUCGACGUAUAUGCAUCAAACGUCGAUUGGUUUGGGUUAGGAACAGUGGUAAUAACCACUGCCAAGAUACCGGUCGACUGGUUAUGAACAUAAGUUAUAAUGGAUACCGGUCGACUGGUUUGGGACGUAUGCCAUAAUGACCAUUCUGCCCAGAUACCAGUCGACAUUUGGGAAGCCACGUGUCGAUCGGUUCUGGGAAAAUUGCACUCCUACUUCCCACUGUUCAGUGAUAACUCACUUACACCAACACUUGGUAAUUAACCACCCCGCCACUACAUUCACGUAUAAAAUUAAGAUAUACUUCAACAUCAAAUUGUAAUAUCAACCACCACGUUGGUAACGUAAUUUACAACACGUUACUUAGAAUACACAAAACUGAUUUUGAGUGAGUAAUACUUAAUUACAUUUUCUCAAGGAUCAUUCACAAGCUUAAUUACAUUCCUAAAACUAUAAUUACACAUGAAAUAGCUAAAUACAAGAUACCAAAAAUCAUCUUCUAACAACUUUCAAUUUUGAGGUGGAUUAGCAUCCGCCGAUUCUUUUCCAAGACCUGAAAAAAAUAUCUAUAGAUAGUAGGGUGAGCUAUAUGCUCAGUAGGUGGCACUUAAGACACACAUCUUGUGUCCUUGUGAAUCCAAUCAAAGCAUAGACCGAUGGGAAAUGGGGAUCAUGCAAUGUAGGGUUAAAACAACUUCAAUGUCAAUUCCAAGUGUAAACAAUGCAAUACAAUGAAAUGCAAUGCAUGAUAUGUCACUCCCCAUUUUUCAUUUCUCAAAAUCAUACUUUCCAACUGUUAAUACAGCCCGCCCUUUGGUAACCCCGCCGCGACAUGAGAGGAGGAUUGGCUAGUGUCCCUGACCCUUGGUAACCCCGCGACGUCAUUAUGGGGCCCAGCUAGCUCAACCACGCUAGGGCGACUCUCUAGUCCCCUCUAGGCUAUAUUAACCUCCGGCCCGUUGGUAACCCUGCAGCGACUGGGUUUAUCAAAACCAUUUCACAAAAACUCUUCUCCCAAAAUUCCCGUUUUCAUUUCAAAAACUGAUUUCUCCUAUUUCAUGCAACCCAAUGGCAUGUACAUGUAUAUGUGUCUCAAACUUACAAUAUUAUGGCAUGUAGAAGUUUUACAUUUCAUAAUUACUUCACAACUAAGCAUAUAUCAUAUUUAGGGCCUGUUUGGUAUUUAUUUUAUUUUUAUUGUUUUUGUUUUAGGCCGGCUACAGUAGCCCAAAUGAAGCCCAAAACAUGUUUGGUUAAUUAUGUUUUGUUUUGCACAGUUAUAAAACAUUUCAGUAAAAAAUCUCAAAACUUGAAACACCAAAAUGGUGUUUUAUCUCGUUUCAGCCCUGUUUGCCCAAGAUUUCACUGUAGCGGAAGAAGUAGCCGACCCAACUUAAAACAUACUUACUUCAGGUAUAUAAACAUUUUAGGUUAUUUUUGGCAAAUUUUCUCUCUCCUCUCCCAAUACUCUCUCUGCGAUUCAAGGCGAUUUCAGAAAAUUUCAUCACCGAUCGAAGUUGCAUUUGCUGGAUUCAAACUUGAAACAUAUAAAACACAGAUCACACAGAAACAAACCAGUAUCGUCUUCAUCUUCUUCCUUUCAACCAGUAACCCUAGUGACACAUGAUAUGGUGCUCUGAAAUAAAACCAUGGCUACCAAUGUUUUGAUAAUUAGAAAUUCUAAAUUAUUCUUGGUCACUGAAGUUGAAUAUGCAAUCUAACUCAAGUAGAUUCCACUCUCGGCAAAGCCAAAAUUUUGAAACCAUUUGCUGAAAAUAAAAGCCCCAGUUUCAAAGCUAGAAGAUUUUUUGAAACCUUUUAUUGAAAUUAAAACCCCAAUUUUUGUAAAAUCUAAUCUGGAUACCAAACCCACAUCACACAAAACCAAACCAGUAUAAUAACCCAACAAAACCCAAACACAGCACAAACCAAACCCAGAACAAUGGAGUCGUCAUCUCACGUUGGCGGCCUUGUUCGGAGCGUCGGUAAUGGCAGUCUCUACCUUCUACAUCCACAAGCGUAACCUCGACCAAGCUCUCGAACGCCUCAUCAAAAUCCGCCGCAAAUCCCCUCCCUCCGCCGCCGAUCAUUUCGCCUCCGAUGAUGAGGAACAUGAAGAUCACGACAGAGGUGGAGAGAUUGACAACUUCAUGCCAGCUAAGGUCCUGAGAUAAGGCUGACUUCUUUUCUUUUUCUUUUUUUCGUUUUUUUUUUUCACUUUUUAGGUUUUUUUUUUGAAACAAUUGCAGUGACCAAAUGGGUUUUGCAUGUUUCUGUUUCCAAUAUUUUCACAACAAAAUAUCAUUCCCAAACGUGUUUCUAAUUUCUUUACAAAACACUCUUACAACAAAAAUAUUGUUUCUGUUUUUGUCAAAAGUAAAACACCAAAAACAAAACGCAUACCAAACGGACCCUUAACAUCAUCAAUUGAGUCAUCAACACAUUAAACACAACAAAACUAUCACCACAACAUGCUUUUCACAUAGAACAAAUCAUAAUCAAAAUCAUGAAUUUCUCUAGACAUCAAUUACACAACAUUGAAACAAUUAACUCUUAAAUUAAGCAUGUUUAUCACACAAAGGAGAUAUAACUCACAAUGGAACAAGAAGGAAGUGGAUUAAGGGCCCCGACCUCAAGUUUGCACCAAAACCCUAAAGAUGGGUCUCAAUUUCGAAUUCCCUAGGGAGGGUCAAAGCUGGAAUUGAUGGUACUCACGCGUAGAGCUUGUCGUGCUCUCCGUUUUGCCUCAAACGGCACCUUAAUCCACCAAGAAUUGAGAGAAUAAUCAAAGCUCAAAGAUUGCCUUUUAAGUGAAAAGAAAAAGAAAAGGAAAAUGAGAGAGGGAGAGAAGCUACAGGAGAGAGAGAAUGUGUGGAGCAAAGAAGUGUGGUCUCAAGACCAUUUCAAGUGUGAGUGGUGGGCCCCACCAGAUUUUCUUUUCUUUUCCCCUUUUUCUUUUACUUCAAUUCUUACACCACACACACAAGUGCACCACAAGCAAAUACUACUUAAUCCACAUAAUUUAAAAUGCACAAUGCAAAUGGACCCAACCACAAUCCCGAACACAACAUAUGAAAAGACAGAAAUACUCGUCUCCACGAAUUAAUGGAAAAAUGAAAAUGCUGAAAAAUCAGAAACAUCACAAUCUCCCCAACUUAAAAGGAUUUCGUCCCCGAAAUCAAGCCGUACCUGGGGAAGAGAACAACUCUGAAUACUUGGAGCGAACCUGCUGUUCAAGCUCCCAAGUAGCCUCCUCGACUCCGUGGUGUCGCCAAAGAACUUUCACUAUCUGCAUCGUUUUACCCCUUAACACCUUCUGCCGUGUGUCAAGAAUCUGCACUGGUCCCUCUUGAUAGGAGAUAUCUUCAUCAAUGUCCACAUCGACCCAAUCCAAAAUGUGAGAUGGAUCCGGUUUAUACUUCCGUAGCAUCGACACAUGAAAAACAUUAUGAACCUUGUCCAUCUGCGGUGGUAAAGCGAGUCUGUAAGCAACCUCUCCUAUACGGUCCAAAAUCUCAAAUGGUCCAAUGAAUCGUGGCGACAACUUGCCACUUUUCCCAAACCUCAUUAAACCCUUCCGUGGAGAAACCCUCAGAAAAACAUGGUCUCCCACUUCAAAAGCUAGCGGUCGUCUCCGCUUGUCUGCAUAGUUCUUCUGUCGACUCUGAGCGGUGAGCAACCUCUGUCUGAUCAAUUUGAUUUUCUCGGUAGUCUCGAGUAUAAUGUCGGGUCCUAAGGCAGCUGUCUCACCUACCUCAGUCCAACAAACUGGAGACCUACAAGGUCUGCCAUACAACGCCUCAAACGGAGCCAUCUCUAUGCUCGCCUAAUAACUGUUGUUGUAGGCAAACUCAAUGAGCGGUAGAUGAUCUUCCCAACUGCCACCCAAGUCAAGCACACAUGCCUAGAGCAUAUCCUCCAAGAUCUGAAUAGUACGCUCCGACUGGCCGUCUGUCUGUGGAUGGAAUGCCGUGCUAAGGUUUAACGCUGAACCAAACACUAUUUGAAGUCCUUCCCAGAACUUCGAAGUGAACUUAGCAUCCCUGUCCGAAACAAUGGUUACUGGAACUCCAUGUAACCUUACAAUCUCCUUCACGUAAAGAACGCCAAGUGUCUUUGCAUCAUCUGUUGUCUUAAUAGGCAAAAAGUGAGCCGUCUUGGUCAAUCUAUCAAUGAUGACCCAUACGGCCUCAUUGCCCCUUCGUGACCUUGGAAGACCUGUCACAAAAUCCAUCGCAAUCUGUUCCCAUUUCCAUUGUGCUACAGGCAAUGGUUGCAACAAUCCUGCCGGUCUCUGAUGCUCGGCCUUUACCUCUUGACAGGUAAGGCACUUAGCCACAAACUGCGCAACGUCCUUCUUUAUCCUAUUCCACCAAUACUGACGUCUCAAAUUGUGAUACAUUUUUGUACCACCUGGAUGAACUACAAAGCGGGAAGUGUGAAACUCCCGAAGAACAUCUUCACGACAAACCGUGGGGACAACCAACAAAUCUUUAAACCGUAGACCCCUAUCUGCAUGUAAGGUCCAAUCCUUCACUGUCUCACCACUGGAGAUUAAAGCAUGAAUGGCAUCCAAAUCUGGAUCCUGUCUCUGUGACUCAAUCACUCGUCCAACAAGAGUAGGCUGAGCCAUAAGACUAAACAAGAAUGCCGACCCAUUGCAAUCAUCCUCAUCUAAACAACACAAUCCCAUUUCCGCCAAACUUUCAAGCAUCUUCCACUUCCGAAUAGCCAAACAGGCCAAAGUGCCUCUAGAUUUUCGGCUUAAGGCAUCAGCUACAACAUUUGCCUUGCCCGGAUGAUACUGCAAAUCAAAGUUGUAAUCUUCCAAGUACUCAACCCACCGUCUCUGUCUAUUGUUCAAGUCCUUUUAGGAGAAAAGGUACUUGAGGCUCUAAUGAUCCGAGAACACCUCGAAUCGUUCACCAUACAAGUAAUGUCUCCAACAUUUUAGAGCAAAUACUACUGCCGCCAACUUUAAAUUAUGAGUAGGGUAGUUGUACUCAUGAGUCUUUAACUGCCGAGACCCAUAAGCCACUACUCUACCAUCUUGCAUCAACACAUAUCCCAAGCCAUCGCGUGAAGCAUCACAAUAAAUCACAUAACCCAAGCCACGCUCAGGUAUCACCAACAUUGGAGCUGUAGUCAAUCUUGUCUUCAACUCCUGAAAAGAUGACUCACAAGCUUCAUUCCACGUAAACUUGAUCCCUUUCCGAGUCAAACGGGUCAUAGACGCUGCCAAACGGGAGAAAUCUUUCACAAAUCUCCGGUAGUAACCCGCUAGACCAAGAAAAUUGCGGAUCUCAAACACAUUCUUGGGUUGCUCCCAAGUCAAAACAGCUUCAAUCUUUGAUGGAUCAACUGACACUCCACCUUCUGGAACAACAUGCCCCAAGAACUUCACCUCUUGUAGCCAAAACUCACACUUCUCAUAUUUGGCAUGCAAUCGGUGCUCCCGCAAAAUCUGCAAAACAAUACUUAAAUGGACCUCGUGCUUUUCCCGAGUCCGUGAAUACACAAGAAUGUCAUCCACGAAUACUACCACAAACUGGUCCAAGUAAUCGUGAAAGACGCGGUUCAUCAAGUCCAUGAAUGCCGCUGGCGCUUUAGUCAAGCCAAAAGGCAUAACAAGGAACUCAUAGUGUCCAUACCGUGUACGGAAUGCUGUCUUUGGGAUAUCUUCAUCCCUAACCCUCAACUGAUAGUAGCCAGAUCUUAAAUCAAUCUUUGAGAAACAACUGGCUCCUUUCAACUGAUCAAACAAAUCGUCUAUCCUUGGCAAACGAUACUUGUUCUUGAUGGUGGCAUGAUUCAACUUCCGGUAAUCAAUGCAUAACCUCAAAGAACCAUCUUUCUUUUUAGCAAACAAGACCGGUGCGCCCCAUGGUGACACACUUGGUCGGAUGAAACCUUUCAUCCUCAAAUCAUCAAGCUGCCUUUUCAAUUCUUCCAAUUCAACUGGUGCCAUACGAUAUGGUGCCAUAGAAAUCGGCGCAAUACCGGGCAUCAAAUCAAUGGUAAACUCCACUUUCCGGUGUGGAGGCAACUCCGUCAGAUCCUCUGGAAACACGUCCAGAAAAUCACGAACAACCGCCGGAUAACUUUUUCCCACAACAUCCUCCUCUUUGGCUAGAAGACUAGCCAAGAAGUAAUCACCACGACUCCGUCCACGAAUUCCAUACAACGAUGAAGGCUGGGAAUCACUCCGAUCUCCCAUGAAAAAGAAACAAUCUCCCUCAGGAGUGCAAACCGUGACUUUUCCUCUGAAACAAUCGAUCGUGGCAUGAAAGGAAGCUAACCAAUCCAUCCCGAGAAUGACGUCAAAGCUAGUCAUCUCCAGGAGGAUAAGGUCAAACACGAAAGUUCGUCCAACAAUCACAAUGGGACAAUCCCGCACAACUCGGCUCAAAGACACUGAAACCCCAACCGGCGUAUCAUCACACAACGCCCGAUCCAAGAAACUAACCUCUAACCCCGAUGCAAAUGCAAAUGAUGAUGAAAUGAAAGAGUGAGAUGCACCAGAGUCAAACAAAACACGGGCCCAAGAACCAAACACUGGAAAUAUACCUCGGAGAACUGACGGUCCAGGAGAUGGAUCAGUCGGUGCAAGUGCAAAGACACGUCCCUGUUGUGCCUGUGCUUGAGAACCACCAAUCUGAACACCAGACUAUUGUGCCGACACAGUAGGAGUAUCCCUCCUAGCUGGACGAGAACCCUGAGAAGACAUGGCAGGCUGAGGUGGUGGCGGUGGUCUGAAACCUGACUGAACUGUAGCCGACUGUGACGGCCUCUGUCAUGACCCUCUGCCACUACCAGUACCUGCUCCCUGACUAGGACAGUCCCGAAUCAAGUGAUCCGGCUGGCCACACCCAUAAUAAGUCCUUGGAACUGAAGAAACUGAAGACGAUCUCAUGGGACAACUAGACAUGUAGUGCCCAGGUUGCUGACAUUGAUAACAAACAACUCCACUUCUGUCAGAUCCAGCUGGUAUAGGAGUGGUAGGAGCAGAUCGUGCAGACUGUUGCCCCUGAAACUGAAAUGAACCACUCUUGCUCCUUUUCCAAGGAGAUCCCUCUGAGGAUGGCCCUACACCUCUCUUUUGCUUCAACUGCUCUCUUCUUGCAUCCUUCUCUUUAUUAUCGGCCUCCAACAUUAAUGCCCUUUCUACUGCUUCCGAGUAAACUUUAAUGAAUUGCGCCGUGAUCAACGGCCUCAUCCGAUCAUUAAGACCAGAAACAAACUUCCGAGUCUUGCAAGCUUCAUCUCUCACCAUUUCUGGAGCAAAACGGGAGAGUGAAGUAAACUUGUUCUCAUAUUCUGCCACUGACAUGCUCCCUUGAAUAAAGUUAUGAAACUGGUCUUGUAACUCCCAUCUUUUGGAAAGCGGAAAAUACUUUUCAUAGAACAGUUCCUUGAACCUGUCCCAACUCAUCUCCUCCACCUUAUACUGGUUGGUGAUUGACUUCCACCAAACCUUGGCAUCUUUAGCAAACUUGUAAGUAGCUAGGAUGAUCUUCAAAUGAUCCUCCGUCACAUCCAUUGAGGUCAACUAAGUCUCAACCUGAUCCAGGUAGUCAUCUGCUACCAUUGGAUCCGCACCGCCCUCGAACAUAACUGGCAUCAACUGAGAAAAACCUUUAAUGAUCUUGAGACACUUCUGAGCUGGCGUCUCUUCAACUUGAACUGUAGGUUGUGGUGCCGAUUGCGACUGAGCAGCAAUCGUUGCCCUCACGGCACUUUGCAACAAACGAUUAAACUCCAGUGCCACAGAACCUUCACCCACUUCUACGGGUGCUUCAACAUUAUCCCUCAUCGGGGGAACAACUAUUAGGGGAAUCAAGUCCCUAAGAAGCGUGUCCUCAUCAUUUAGUUCCGCCGGAUUAGAGCUAGAGCUCUCACCAACGUCACCCCUUGUUGGCCUAGGGCCAACUUCCCUUAACUCUUCACGUCGUGACAUCGUGCUAUAAAAUGAGAGAACGGUUCAAAAACAUGACGCUAAAGUCCACCGUGGACGACUCAACAUAAAAUGAUGACGUACCAACACUUAGCAUGCACAACUAUACAAGAAACACUUUAAUGUAACAUUUAGGCACAUAAGCACAUAGACAAUUAAACAUACUUGUUCAAAUAAAUAAACACGUAGCAAGGAAUCACGUAAACAAUGCAAACAACACCCCACGUAACUCUAUGUAGGCCUCUACCUGUCGUCCCAAAGGUUUUCGAAGCCGCGCUCUGAUACCAUUCUGUAACGACCCAAAUCCUCAUGGAUCCGGAUCAUUAAAUGGGUCCUUACCAGACCCAAAAUCAUCCAAGGGUAAAACGGUCAUUUCACGUCAAAUUAAAAUGUUGAAUUCCAAAAAGGGCAAGAUGGUAAUUUGCCAUAUUUCAAUAAAUUAAGACCCAAAGGACAUCAUAGUCAUUUACGUGCAUCACACAAUAAUUAAAAUGAGGUCUGGGGUAAAAAUAGUCCUUUUGGGGCAAAAAUAUAAUUAUUUGAUUUUGGUGGUCAUAAAAUAAUUACGUGCAACAUCACUUGGGGCCAAAAUGAAAUUAUAAGAACUUAAAAUUUGUAAUUACAUAUGUGACGUAAACCGGUCGACGUAUAUGCAUCAAACGUCGACUGGUUUGGGUUAGGAACAGUGGUACUGCCAAGAUACCAGUCGACUGGUUUGGGAUACCGGUCGACUGGUUUGGAUACCAGUCGACUGGUUCUGAACAUAAGUUAUAAUGGAUACCGGUCGACUGGUUUGGGACACCGGUCGACUGGUUUGGGACGUAUGCCAUAAUGACCAUUCUGCCAAGAUAACGGUCAACAUUUGGGAAGCCACAUGUCGAUCGGUUUAGGGAAAAUUGCACUCCCACUUCCCACUGUCCAGUAAUAACUCACUUACACCGACACUUGGUAAUUAACCACCCUGCCAUUACAUUCACGUACAAAAUUAAGAUAUACUUUAACAUCAAAUUGUAAUAACAACCACCACCACGUUGGUAACGUAAUUUACAAUAGGUUACUUAGAAUACACAAAAUUGAUUUUGAGUGAGUAAUACUUAAUUACAUUUUCUCAAGGAUCAUUCACAAGCUUAAUUACAUUCCCAAAACUAUAAUUACACAUGAAAUAGCUAAAUACAAGAUAGCAAAAAUCAUCUUCUAACAACUUUCAAUUUUGAGGUGGAUUAGCAUCCGCCGGUUCUUUUCCAUGACCUGAAAAAAAUAUAUAUAGAUAGUAGGGUGAGCUAUAUGCUCAGUAGGUGACACUUAAGACACACAUCUUGUGUCCUUAUUGAUCCAAUCAAAGCAUAGACCAAUGGGAAAUGGGGAUCAUGCAAUGUAGGGUUAAAACAACUUCAAUGUCAAUUCCAAGUGUAAACAAUGCAAUACAAUGAAAUGCAAUGCAUGAUAUGUCACUCCCCAUUUUUCAUUUCUCAAAAUCAUACUUUCCAACUGUUAAUACAGCUCGCCCUUUGGUAACCCCUCCGCGACAUGAGAGGAGGAUUGGCUAGUGUCCCUGACCCUUGGUAACCCCGCGGCGUCAUUAUGGGGCCCAGCUAGCUCAACCACGCUAGGGCGACUCCUUAGUCCCCUCUAGGCUAUAUUAACCUCCGGCCCGUUGGUAACCCCGCAGCGACCGGGUUUAUCAAAACCAUUUCACAAAAACUCUUCUCCCAAAAUUCCCGUUUUCAUUUCAAAAACUGAUUUCUCCCAUUUCAUGCAACCCAAUGGCAUGUACAUGUAUAUGUGUCUCAAGCUUACAAUAUUAUGGCAUGUAGAAGUUUUACAUUUCAUAAUUACUUCACAACUAAGCAUAUAUCAUAUUCAACAUCAUCAAUUGAGUCAUUAACACAUUAAACACAACAAAACUAUCACCACAACAUGCUUUUCACAUAGAACAAAUCAUAAUCAAAAUCAUGAAUUUCUCUAGACAUCAAUUACACAACAUUGAAACAAUUAACUCUCAAAUUAAGCAUGUUUAUCACACAAAGGAGAUAUAACUCACAAUGGAACAAGAAGGAAGUGGAUUAAGGGCCCCUAUCUCAAGUUUGCACCAAAAUAAAGAUGGGUCUCAAUUUCAAAUUCCCUAGGGAGACUCAAAGCUGGAAUUGAUGGUACUCACGCGUAGAGCUUGUCGUGCUCUCCGUUUUGCCUCAAACGGCACCUUAAUCCGCCAAGAAUUGAGAGAAUAAUCAAAACUCAAAGAUUGCCUUUCAAGUGGAAAGAAAAAGAAAAGGAAAAUAAGAGAGGGAGAGAAGCUACGGGAGAGAGAGAAUGUGUGGAGCAAAGAAGUGUGGUCUCAAGACCAUUUCAAGUGUGAGUGGUGGGCCCCACCAGAUUUUCUUUUCUUUUCCCCUUUUUCUUUUACUUCAAUUCUUACACCACACACACACAAGUGCACCACAUGCAAAUACUACUUAAUCCACAUAAUUUAAAAUGCUCAAUGCAAAUAGACCCAACCACAAUCCCGAACACAACAUGCGAAAAGACAGAAAUACCCUUGUCUCCACGAAUUAAUGGAAAAAUGAAAACGCUGAAAAAUCAGAAACAUCACAGCUUCAUCUGAGACAAGACUGUACUCUCGUGCUUCCAAAUUGUAUCCGCUGGAUCCGUCGUCAGAACUUCUGCAAACAAAAGCUGUUCAGUUCGAGGGAUCUUUAAAUGUGAGGGCAAGUUACUUCUCUGGUCAAGAUAUAUAUGGUGAUGCAAUUCUGGCAUCUGUAGGGUACAAACGGAACUCUGCUGACCUCUUCCAUAAAGAUGUAUCCUUGCAUACGUAUUACAGAAUUAGCCCUCCUUCCCAACACCAACAAGAGCAGCCAUUGAAGACAGGAAGGAUAAAAGCUCAACGUAGACAAAAUUAAGUUAAUCGAACUCUGUGGCACAUCAGAAUCUGAAUUUUCCAGUGUCUCUACAUCCAUGAAGGACCUGUGUCAUGAUGUUUUUGGGAUAUCAAAGGAAAAGAAAGAUCCAAGAGAUGUGAAAGGUUACCGAGGUGAGGAGAGAAGGAUUAAUGAAUUGGAGACGAGAGAAGAAUCUGAGCUGUUCAUUGCUAAGUACUCCUGAACUUCAUCAGCUAUACCCUCUCCACAAGUGUAGGAAGAUGGUGGUUGAAAUUUUUUGCUAGCUUCUGGAACAUAUCGUUAAUAUGUAUCCCCUCACAAGAUCCACAAGUGAUCGGUUGAAUAGCUCGUUUAAAGCUACACCUAUUUCCUUAUUGUCAACUUGGUACUUCAACCGAAUUAGCUGAGAAAGCAACUUCAAAAUUAUAAGAAAAUGAGAGAAUAAGGUGUACUUUUGUCUAUUAACAAAAGCAAAGCAAAUGAUGUUCCUAGAAAGCGCACUAAGCAAGCUCGACUCAACUUCGUGAAGGAGGCUCCUGAAACCCAAGUGGGUGCUUUGUGAAGGGCAUUGUUCUUCUCUUCUAGUUUUUGUUUGUUUUAUUUGGUGCAAGUGCUCACAAGGAGAGAGAUGAUGGAAGUACACCGGUUUUUCUUUACUUCUGAAAAACACAACUUUUUGAAGGUUGAAUAAUUUGGUCUAUUGGUGUUUUUAUCAAUUUCUAUAUAUUGCGCGGAUUAUGGAGGUGGCUUGAUUAUAGAAAUUUGAGCAGCAUUGUACAGAAUGCAAAUUAUUGUCCAUACAUUACAUUAUCUUCAUUUAAAUAUAUUGUUAUAGCCUCCAAAAAUAAGUGUCA
Cornus florida is the source of this 14438-nucleotide long non-coding RNA. RefSeq lists it as uncharacterized. The record is from RefSeq and is a predicted model, not a curated record. Lineage: Eukaryota; Viridiplantae; Streptophyta; Magnoliopsida; Cornales; Cornaceae. The transcript has 10 exons.